AACGAACGCUGGCGGCAUGCCUAACACAUGCAAGUCGAACGAGACCUUCGGGUCUAGUGGCGCACGGGUGCGUAACGCGUGGGAACCUGCCCUUAGGUUCGGAAUAACUCCCCGAAAGGGGUGCUAAUACCGGAUAAUGUCUUCGGACCAAAGAUUUAUCGCCUUUGGAUGGGCCCGCGUUGGAUUAGCUAGUUGGUAGGGUAAAAGCCUACCAAGGCGACGAUCCAUAGCUGGUCUGAGAGGAUGAUCAGCCACACUGGGACUGAGACACGGCCCAGACUCCUACGGGAGGCAGCAGUGGGGAAUAUAGGAAAAUGGGCGAAAGCCUGAACCAGCAAGGCCGCGUGAGUGAUGAAGGCCUUAGGGUUGUAAAGCUCUUUUACCCGGGAUGAUAAUGACAGUACCGGGAGAAUAAGCUCCGGCUAACUCCGUG
RNAcentral lists this ribosomal RNA (433 nucleotides) under uncultured bacterium. Its description in RNAcentral is "partial 16S ribosomal RNA". It matches the Rfam family "Bacterial small subunit ribosomal RNA", at positions 29 to 507 of the family's 1533-position model. The record is from RNAcentral.